AUACGUAGGGGGCGAGCGUUGUCCGGAUUUAUUGGGCGUAAAGGGUGCGUAGGCGGCCUUGUAAGUCAGAUGUGAAAGAUCAUGGCUUAACUGUGGUAAGCAUUUGAAACUGCAGGGCUUGAGUACCGGAGAGGAGAGUGGAAUUCCUAGUGUAGCGGUGUAAUGGGUAGAUAUUAGGAGGAAUACCAAUGGCGAAGGCGACUCUCUGGACUGAUACUGACGCUGAGGCACGAAAGCGUGGGGAGCAAACAGGAUUAGAUACCCUGGUAGUCCACGCUAUAAACGAUGAGUGCUAGGUGUCGGGGGUCAAACCUCGGUGCCGCAGUUAACACAUUAAGCACUCCGCCUGGGGAGUACGGCCGCAAGGCUGAAACUCAAAUGAAUUGGCGGGG
This 392-nucleotide ribosomal RNA is filed under the name uncultured bacterium. RNAcentral's name for it is "partial 16S ribosomal RNA". It matches the Rfam family "Bacterial small subunit ribosomal RNA", at positions 523 to 918 of the family's 1533-position model. The record is from RNAcentral.